CCAGGGUUUGGUAGGGCAAGAGGGCAGGUGGGUGCAAUGUUUCUUCUUUUGAUGUGUUCUUGUCUUCACCUCAGGGACCUGGACGCCCUGCCUGUUGAGGCAAGGUUGUGGAUGUCCCGGGCCUUAUGGUCACUGCUUCGCAUGAUGUGGGGCAGCAUCCAUCUGAACGCUCAUCACUACCAAGGCCAAGGUUUUGGAAGGAAGUCCUUCUUCUCCCAUCUUAGUAUUAGACCAUCGGAUUUGGGACACGGGACUAAGGCCGCUGACUCUGCAUCCCUUACAAGCAUACACAGCUGCCUGCCCUUUUGCCUUGUGUCCAUCCUGGAGCGGCCUUCUGCAAGAUUCUAUGUUACCUGUCCUCGGUCCACUUGGAAUCUCUUGAGAGAGCUGAGUCCUGUGUAUUCCUAGGCCCUGCCACAGGGACCUGGACGCCCUGCCUGUUGAGGCAAGGUUGUGGAUGUCCCGGGCCUUAUGGUCCCUGCUUCGCAUGAUGUGGGGCAGAAUCCAUCUGAACGCUCAUCACUACCAAGGCCAAGGUUUUGGAAGGAAGUCCUUCUUCUCCCAUAUUAGUAUUAGACCAUCGGAUUUGGGACACACGACUAAGGGCGCUGACUCUGCAUCCCUUACAAGCAUACACAGCUGCCUGCCCUUUUGCCUUGUGUCCAUCCUGGAGCGGCCUUCUGCAAGGACCUGUUGUAGGCCUGCUCCUGGUCCUUGCCUUUGGGCCAUGGGCACUUUCCUGGCUCACUGGGUUCAUCCGAAGCCAAAUAACAGACCUGC
Molecule: long non-coding RNA, 780 nt
Organism: Peromyscus eremicus (cactus mouse)
Lineage: Eukaryota; Metazoa; Chordata; Mammalia; Rodentia; Cricetidae
Exons: 4
Source: RefSeq, a predicted model, not a curated record